UUUCCAGCCUUAAGCCUAGUUCUCAGAGCUUCGUAGUGUCGCCAGCGACAGUUCUCCAGCCAAUCAGAGCAUGUAAACAAAACUUCCCCUGACCCCUUCCUUUUCAUUUCUGGUUGUCGAGAAGUGUCGCGACACGCCCCUUUUGUAGUUGAAAUAUUCCAACUUCCAACUACACCUCGAAUUUCUGCGACAAUCACAAGUAAAUAUAACCUAUCUGUCAGCCGCAAAAACAGUUGUUUUUGAUUUUAGAUAUUCUUUUCAGUAUUUUUUAAUCAUGGUAUAUUUUCCAUCUAAGUUCAGAAUGGAGUUUUUCUACAAGUAUACAGCUUUAUAUUCGUGGCGAAAGGCGAAAUAAAAUAAGGAGAAGAAGGUGAAUUCACUAGACCACUGCGGCAGAUAGGUAUUUAACUUCCUAGUGAACCAUGGGAGUUCACUGCUAUAUACUCCAUGAAUAUUCAUUUGGCCAAUCCGUAAUAGAUAUAUGAAAAGUAAGCUAAUUUCACGUUUUGAAAUGAGAAAUAUGUCAAGAUUUCCUGAAUUAAAUUCCAAUUUUCUUUCAGUGAAUACAAAAAGUGCCUAUUUCAUUGAAAUUCCCAAAACAAAUCAAAAAGUAGCUGAACGUUACUCCCACAAAAUAUACAAGUUUGGAGGUUUUGAUCCAUAUGCCAUUUGAGCAAGAGAUAUACGAGGUUACAGUCCUGAUGGAAUAUGAUGAUGUUGUGGUUUUUCUAGUUUUCACAAUCAGUUUUUAAACACAUCAGCAAAUGAAAGCAUUUAAGCGCUUAUCAGCCGACAAAUGCUCGCAUUAUAUCUGGGUUUUGCUGUUUGAAACAAAAUAUUCUGUGAGAAGUUUUUCACAAAAGGGUCAGUACAGAUGAAUAGGUGUACAUGUAAAGAAGGGAAUAAUGACCAUUUUAUGAUAAAAUGCUGCUAUGAGGAUUGUGAAAUAUAUUGGAUCCGAUCCAUGCGGAAAGUGUUGGGCUGACCAUUGUUCCUGACCAUUCGUUCAGCAGCGCUUGUACAAGCAAUUUACACAUGGAUCGAAUAGUUUUUUAAAAUGUAUAUACAUAAUAUGAUGUAAUGUGGUUGUAUUAAAUAAUCUCGAAUAGAUGCACUGUUCUAUACAAAA
This is a long non-coding RNA of Coccinella septempunctata (seven-spotted ladybird), 1129 nucleotides long. RefSeq lists it as uncharacterized. NCBI's taxonomy places the organism in Eukaryota, Metazoa, Arthropoda, Insecta, Coleoptera, Coccinellidae. The record is from RefSeq and is a predicted model, not a curated record. The transcript is spliced from 2 exons.